Molecule: transfer RNA, 73 nt
Filed under: Planctomycetaceae bacterium
Lineage: Bacteria; Pseudomonadati; Planctomycetota; Planctomycetia; Planctomycetales; Planctomycetaceae
Also listed under: 2 other names
Description: tRNA-Gly
Rfam family: tRNA
About the family: Transfer RNA (tRNA) molecules are approximately 80 nucleotides in length. Their secondary structure includes four short double-helical elements and three loops (D, anti-codon, and T loops).
Source: RNAcentral
GCGGGUGUAGCUCAGUUGGUAGAGCAUCACGUUGCCAACGUGAUUGUCGAGGGUUCGAGUCCCUUCACCCGCU